Molecule: long non-coding RNA, 1702 nt
Organism: Ctenopharyngodon idella (grass carp)
Lineage: Eukaryota; Metazoa; Chordata; Actinopteri; Cypriniformes; Xenocyprididae
Exons: 3
Source: RefSeq, a predicted model, not a curated record
CAUGAUAAUCUAUAAAUCGCUCGUCUGGGAACUGUUGUAAGAUGCCUAUAGAGCCAGAGAAUAUAUGCUGCAUGAAGAUAGAACAGGUAUAGUUUAGUUUAUUUACGGUUAUAACUUGUUUUUAUGACAUGCUAUUGCAUUUGUGUUAUGUACUGUAUUGCAAUAACAUGGCCUCACCCCUUUGUUGCGUGUUCUCGGGGGCAGGGUUUAUGUAAAUGUUAGGGUUAGUGAUGUCACCAACCCUGUUGUUUAUUUUAUUACUGAGAGGAAAGAGCGCAGCACAUAUUUACAUAUUCAUCUAAACGCUGCGCUCAGCAGUGAGGGCUGCGUCAGCUGUUCGAUAACACUAACAGUAUAUCGCUGCUCAUGUAUUUCGAACUUUGUUUUACCACUAAACGAAGAACGAAAAAGAACUAUAUCGGGGCCUUUAUCCUCUGGGGUUGACGAACACGUACGCGUUGACGUCGGCGCAUUCAUUUGGAUUUUUUUCCUCAUAACAGUGGAAAGAACUUAAAGUAUACUCCAUUGUUUUUGGUCAUACAGAUAAAAAAAACUUGCAUCUACAUUUGAAAAACUAACUGAAGUAAAAUAAUAAUAAACAAAAAUGAAUAUUUUAGUAGUCACUGAGCAUCAAGCAAAAUCACAUAGAUGAAUAAUCUGCCCUGUGGGGAAGGCAUCCCACUUGCAGAUGGUGUGUGAUAAAACAAAUGAAAUUGCAAUGACUAUUCGGUAACAUUAAGCUGACUGCUUUGGGCCCCUGGCAGAUUGCGGCCCUGGAGCAUGUAACCUGUCCUGCCCUGCUUGAAUUCAUUGUCACUCAUUGUCCACAGAAGGUGCAGACCUGUUUACAGCAAAAAUGAAAAGUUGGUUGUAUCAGGGUAAUGUAAUUUGCUUUCUCUGGGUUUUUAAGAUGAAGCAAGUUAAUCUUUAGCUGAAUGCAUUUGUUUUUUUCCCAGCAGUGAUAAAUGUACAAAAAUUUUACUUGUAUCAGCUUGCUUGAAUAGGCUAUCCUGUCUUGGAGAAGAGGAACGAAAGAACAGUAUCAAGCACUCAUACAUGCCCCACUUGAACUUUUGCUCUUCAUCACCACGCAAUCAAGCCACAGCCUUAAUGCUGCCUGCAUGAAAGCACAACACAAUACAAGCCUUCUGUCGCAGUUACAAAGCAGUGCUACAGAUGCAGGAUGUGUGAAACAAGCCAAACUGGACACUACUGGUGCUGUACUCUUUCUUUAUGGAGAUUUAUGAGCAUUUUGGACGUUUAACCCCAUCCAUCCAGAGAUGCUGCAGUGAACAACAUAAACACAGGCUCUUUGUGCAAGCUGUGCUUCUAAUGUUGGUUACAAGUUCAUCAAUAAGUUCAAAAUUGCAGCAUAAAUUAUGUAACUUAUGAAUCUGCCCCAUAGGUAAAAAAAAUACUCAGAGAUAUAGAGUACAAAUGAAACUACUGGGUCUUAAAACUGUGGAGAACAUGAUCUUAUUGAAUUUAUUUUUUUGUAGUUUUUUCAUCUACAGUAUAGUGCAUAUGAUUGACUACCUUUAUGAUGCUUUAUUUUUAAUUUAGGAUUAAAUUACUGUGAUUAGUCUUUUUUCUUGAUCAGUGGUUAGGGGUAGGCUUUGGGUUUGGGUAUAAAUUUAUGCACAUGAAAUUAUAAUAUAAUUAUACUACUAUAUUUAUAACAAAAUAAAUAUAUUAAAACAUA